CCUACGGGAGGCAGCAGUGAGGAAUAUUGGACAAUGGGCGCAAGCCUGAUCCAGCCAUGCCGCGUGCAGGAAGAAGCAUCUAUGGUGUGUAAACUGCUUUUGUACAGGAAGAAACACUCCCUCGUGAGGGAGCUUGACGGUACUGUAAGAAUAAGGACCGGCUAACUCCGUGCCAGCAGCCGCGGUAAUACGGAGGGUCCGAGCGUUAUCCGGAAUCAUUGGGUUUAAAGGGUCCGUAGGCGGUUUAAUAAGUCAGUGGUGAAAUCUGGUCGCUCAACGAUCAAACGGCCAUUGAUACUGUUAGACUUGAAUUAUAAGGAAGUAACUAGAAUAUGUAGUGUAGCGGUGAAAUGCUUAGAUAUUACAUGGAAUACCAAUUGCGAAGGCAGGUUACUACUUAUGGAUUGACGCUGAUGGACGAAAGCGUGGGGAGCGAACAGGAUUAGAUACCCUGGUAGUCCACGCCGUAAACGAUGGAUACUAGCUGUUCGGAGCAAUCUGAGUGGCUAAGCGAAAAGUGAUAAAGUAUCCCACCUGGGGAGUAACGUUCGCAAGAAUGAAAACUUCAAAAGGAAUUGACGG
Molecule: ribosomal RNA, 582 nt
Filed under: uncultured bacterium
Lineage: Bacteria
Description: bacterial SSU rRNA
Rfam family: Bacterial small subunit ribosomal RNA
Source: RNAcentral